CCUACGGGUGGCAGCAGUGAGGAAUAUUGGUCAAUGGACGUAAGUCUGAACCAGCCAAGUCGCGUGCAGGAAGACGGCUCUAUGGGUUGUAAACUUCUUUUAUAGGAGGAUAAAGGCAUCCACGCGUGGAUGUUUGCAUGUACCCUAUGAAUAAGGAUCGGCUAACUCCGUGCCAGCAGCCGCGGUAAUACGGAGGAUGCGAGCGUUAUCCGGAUUUAUUGGGUUUAAAGGGUGCGUAGGUUGUUUGUUAAGUUAGAGGUGAAAGUCUGAGGCUCAACCACAGAAUUGCCGUUGAUACUGGAAGACUUGAGUGUAGUUGCGGUAGGCGGAAUGCGUGGUGUAGCGGUGAAAUGCAUAGAGAUCACGCAGAACACCGAUUGCGAAGGCAGCUUACUAAGCUACUACUGACACUGAGGCACGAAAGCGUGGGGAGCAAACAGGAUUAGAUACCCCUGUAGUC
This 460-nucleotide ribosomal RNA is filed under the name uncultured bacterium. RNAcentral describes it as "partial 16S ribosomal RNA". It matches the Rfam family "Bacterial small subunit ribosomal RNA", at positions 338 to 795 of the family's 1533-position model. The record is from RNAcentral.